AACACUAACUAACAGCUAAACUACUAAGGUAACUCAGAACACUAACUAACAGCUAAACUACUAAGGUAACUCAGGACACUAACUAACAGCUAACUACUAAGGUAACUCAGGACACUAACUAACAGCUAAACUACUAAGGUAACUCAGGACACUAACUAACAGCUAAACUACUAAGGUAACUCAGGACACUAACUAACAGCUAAAGUACUAAGGUAACUCAGAACACUAACUAACAACUAAACUACUAAGGUAACUCAGGACACUAACUAACAACUAAACUACUAAGGUAACUCAGAACACUAACUAACAGCUAAACUACUAAGGUAACUCAGAACACUAACUAACAGCUAAACUACUAAGGUAACUCAGAACACUAACUAACAGCUAAACUACUAAGGUAACUCAGAACACUAACUAACAACUAAACUACUAAGGUAACUCAGAACACUAACUAACAACUAAACUACUAAGGUAACUCAGAACACUAACUAACAACUAAACUACUAAGGUAACUCAGAACACUAACUAACAGCUAAACUACUAAGGUAACUCAGAACACUAACUAACAGCUAAACUACUAAGGUAACUCAGGACACUAACUAACAACUAAACUACUAAGGUAACUCAGAACACUAACUAACAACUAAACUACUAAGGUAACUCAGAACACUAACUAACAACUAAACUACUAAGGUAACUCAGAACACUAACUAACAACUAAACUACUAAGGUAACUCAGAACACUAACUAACAGCUAAACUACUAAGGUAACUCAGAACACUAACUAACAACUAAACUACUAAGGUAACUCAGAACACUAACUAACAGCUAAACUACUAAGGUAACUCAGGACACUAACUAACAACUAAACUACUAAGGUAACUCAGAACACUAACUAACAACUAAACUACUAAGGUAACUCAGGACACUAACUAACAGCUAAACUACUAAGGUAACUCAGAACACUAACUAACAACUAAACUACUAAGGUAACUCAGGACACUAACUAACAGCUAAACUACUAAGGUAACUCAGAACACUAACUAACAACUAAACUACUAAGGUAACUCAGGACACUAACUAACAGCUUUGUUGGACAUAAUGAUCAAACUAACGGCACAAAACCAAACCGCUGCACGAACUAGCGUGAGGCUACUGAACUCCUACAGCACGGUGUGAACCCCAAUCUCUGCCGGGACUCUCUCUCCUUACCUAAUUACGUUCAUAUUCUCUGAGGAUAUCCUCUGUCUCGUCAUUACGUUGACCGUGUCUCCGUUCUGAAUAUUUCACUUGUCGUCCCGGCUAAUAAGAUGCCAAUGUUUGUUUGUUCGUUUGUGUUUUUAUGAAUAUUCGACACAAUGUCAUUUUAAAUGCCCUCUGUCCAUUAUAAUUUCACAAAACAAUGAAUGAAACUCAUAUCGAUCCCUCAUUUCCUCCACAGCUAAAGUCUGGAGUGAUGAAUACCGUGGACAUUCCCAAGACAACGUCAACGCCCCUGGACGAGUCUCCAUUGCCGACUGUGAUGAAGUCUGUCUUUACUGACCAGCUGCUCUUUCUGACUCAUUUAUACUCCACCAUGCUGAAUGCUUUUUUACCAUGUUAGUUUGUCUUAGAUGUGAGUCAUAUUUUUCAUAUUGUGCAAAUUUUUUUUUUUAAAUAAAAAUGGAAAAAAACAAAGAGUUA
Oncorhynchus keta (chum salmon) is the source of this 1683-nucleotide long non-coding RNA. RefSeq lists it as uncharacterized. The transcript has 2 exons. The record is from RefSeq and is a predicted model, not a curated record. Lineage: Eukaryota; Metazoa; Chordata; Actinopteri; Salmoniformes; Salmonidae.